Molecule: small nuclear RNA, 97 nt
Filed under: Rhinolophus ferrumequinum (greater horseshoe bat)
Lineage: Eukaryota; Metazoa; Chordata; Mammalia; Chiroptera; Rhinolophidae
Source: RNAcentral
GUGCUCGCUUCGGCAGCACAUAUACUAAAAUUGGAACGAUACAGAGAAGAUUAGACAUCUUGGAUGACAUGAAAUAAUCAAAAUGGUUAAGUUUCAU